UUUCCGUAGGUGAACCUGCGGAAGGAUCAUUACUGAGAACUUGCCCUCCGGGGUAGACCUCCCACCCUAUGUCUAUAUACUUUGUUGCUUUGGCAGGCCUGCCCUGUGGCUACUGGCCUUGGCUAGUGAGUGCCUGCCAGAGAACCAACACUCUAAUAUUUUUACUGUCCGAGUACUAUUCAAUAGUUAAAACUUUCAACAACGGAUCUCUUGGUUCUG
Molecule: unclassified non-coding RNA, 219 nt
Filed under: plant metagenome
Description: partial contains small subunit ribosomal RNA, internal transcribed spacer 1, and 5.8S ribosomal RNA
Source: RNAcentral